Long non-coding RNA from Neofelis nebulosa (Clouded leopard), 337 nucleotides. RefSeq lists it as uncharacterized. NCBI's taxonomy places the organism in Eukaryota, Metazoa, Chordata, Mammalia, Carnivora, Felidae. The transcript has 2 exons. The record is from RefSeq and is a predicted model, not a curated record.
GCCAAGUCUCUGGUAUCAGGGGAAAUGACCUCAGAGCUUUGGACGUGGCUGGCAGGCCACUGCCUGGACUUAAAGGUCUCCUGGCAGGCACCUGUCACCCUGUCUUGUCCUUCCUCUGCCCCAGACCUUCCACAGGGAGCCAAGGGUCUGGGAAAGAAAACAGGCUUCUAGCAUAGAGUGAGGACCCAUAAUUUCAAAGCCCCUGUUUGAGAAGAGAAGGUGGUUAUCGGGAAGAACCAGGAAGACAGCUCUCACCAGAAACUGAAUUUCUCAUCCCUUUGAUCUCAUACUUCCAGCCUCCAGAACUGUGAGAAAUAAAUGUCUAUUGCUUAAUUCA